Molecule: ribosomal RNA, 180 nt
Filed under: uncultured bacterium
Lineage: Bacteria
Description: partial 16S ribosomal RNA
Rfam family: Bacterial small subunit ribosomal RNA
Source: RNAcentral
CCUACGGGAGGCAGCAGUAGGGAAUCUUCCACAAUGGACGAAAGUCUGAUGGAGCAACGCCGCGUGAAUGAAGAAGGCCUUCGGGUCGUAAAAUUCUGUUGUCAGAGAAGAACGUGCGUGAGAGUAACUGUUCACGUAUUGACGGUAUCUGACCAGAAAGCCACGGCUAACAUACGUGCC